This 433-nucleotide ribosomal RNA is filed under the name uncultured bacterium. RNAcentral's name for it is "partial 16S ribosomal RNA". It matches the Rfam family "Bacterial small subunit ribosomal RNA", at positions 29 to 507 of the family's 1533-position model. The record is from RNAcentral.
AACGAACGCUGGCGGCAGGCCUAACACAUGCAAGUCGAGCGAGGACUUCGGUCCUAGCGGCGGACGGGUGAGUAACGCGUGGGAACGUGCCCUUUGCUUCGGAAUAGCCCUGGGAAACUGGGAGUAAUACCGGAUGAGCCCUUUGGGGGAAAGAUUUAUCGGCGAAGGAUCGGCCCGCGUUGGAUUAGGUAGUUGGUGGGGUAAUGGCCUACCAAGCCGACGAUCCAUAGCUGGUUUGAGAGGAUGAUCAGCCACACUGGGACUGAGACACGGCCCAGACUCCUACGGGAGGCAGCAGUGGGGGAUCUUAGACAAUGGGGGAAACCCUGAUCUAGCCAUGCCGCGUGAGCGAUGAAGGCCUUAGGGUUGUAAAGCUCUUUCAGCUGGGAAGAUAAUGACGGUACCAGCAGAAGAAGCCCCGGCUAACUCCGUG